Molecule: long non-coding RNA, 1647 nt
Organism: Oenanthe melanoleuca
Lineage: Eukaryota; Metazoa; Chordata; Aves; Passeriformes; Muscicapidae
Exons: 2
Source: RefSeq, a predicted model, not a curated record
CUGCAGUGUGUGACUGAGCAUAAAACCGGCUAUCUCUGCAACACACACGUACACGCACUUCAGGACGAGAACCACCACAGCCCCCCGCCGGGUUUGUCCGCUCCGAAAGGGCAAAACCUCAAACCCGCUCCGGAACGCGGCCAAACUCCGCAACCAGGCACCGAGUUUCGGAUUCACCUCCAGGCAGUUCUGCGCAGGAGGCGGCUGGCGUGCAGCCGGCAGAGGCUGUGCCCCGUGGGACCCCGCUUCUUCCCGGCCGCGCUCCAGCCACUGGCGGGCUCAGCGACCGCGGCGGCCCCGCAGCCCCGGGCACCCCCCGCGCCAGCCCCGCGGCACCGCGCCCUACCUCCGCCCGCCGCUCCGCUCCGCGCCGCUCCGCGCAGCUGCCUGGUUACCCAGCACAACACGCCGCGCCGCCCCGCCCCGCCGGCCCGCGGCGAGGAAGCAGGUUUUGCAGCAAGCAGUGGUUGCCACUUCCUUCCUGUCCUAAACUGCCACACUAUCUGUGUACAACCUGGAAGCAUUGCCACACACCUCCUGAGAGAUGAGUGCAGUUCUACGUCUGGUUUUCAUGUACUGUAUCAGAUAUAAAUGUAUAAACAUGUAAUCAAAGAACCAUACCAAGUGAACAAAGACUUGUAAGAUCAUCAAGUCCUACUCUUGACCCAGUCCAAGUUUACUACUUCACUGAUUCCCAAAGAAUCACAUCUACAUGUCUUUUAAAUACCUCCAAGGUCAGGGAAUCAAUGAUUUGUCUGGGCAGCCUAUUCCAGUGCACAACCCUUCCCACAAAGAAAUUUUCCUAAUAUCCAAUCUAAACCUCCCCUGAUGUAUCUUGAGGCUGUUUCUUCUUGUACUAUCACUUAUUAAUAAGGAGAAGAGACUGACACCCAUCUUGCUACAACCUCCUGGCUCAGAUUCAGUGGGUCUUGACCAGCAUCCCAGGUCCUUUUCUGCCAGUCCACUUUCCAGCUACUCUUCCCCAAGCCUGUAGCACUGCCUGGGGUUGUUGUGCCCCAGAGGCAGGACUUGGCACUUGGCCUUAUUGAUUUGCCUCAGCCCAUUGAUCCAGCCUGUCCAGAUCCCUCUGCAGAGCCCUCCAGCAGAUCCGCACUCCCUCCCAGCCUGGUGUCUCAGGUGCAAACUGACUGAGGUAGCGCUUGAUCCCCUCACCCAAAUCACUGAUAAAGAUAUUAAAUGAAGGAAAGGAGCUGACCCCAGUGCUGAGAGCUGGGGAACACCACCUGUGGAGCACCACAUUUAUCUCUGAGCCAAAGCUCUCUGCUCAGCCAGGGCGGUCCUUCCUGCUGGCUCAUCUUUCAGCACACUGGGACAGCCUGCUCCUGCACAUUUAGGAUUUCCUUCCUGAAGAAUGACUACCCUUCCUGGACUCCUUUGCCUUUCAGGACUGCCUCCCAAGGGACUGGCAACCCAUCUCCUAAACAGGCCAAAGUCUGCCCUUCAGAAGUCCAAAAUACCUGAAAUCUCUCCCUACUUCUCCAAGAAUCUAUACACUGCAAAACUGCAUGAUUUUUUUUUUUUUCUACAUAGUUUUGUAUGUUGUACUUAAGUGUUUAUAUUUUCUAUUUGAAUGUAACAAAACCUGGGUGAAGUAACUUUGAAAAUAAAAUGAAGACACAACUAGAA